Molecule: ribosomal RNA, 245 nt
Filed under: Goniomonas pacifica
Lineage: Eukaryota; Cryptophyceae; Goniomonadida; Goniomonadaceae
Description: partial Eukaryotic small subunit ribosomal RNA
Rfam family: Eukaryotic small subunit ribosomal RNA
Source: RNAcentral
AAUAGGACUGCGGUUCUAUUUUGUUGGUUUCUAGGACCGAAGUAAUGAUUAAUAGGGAUAGUUGGGGCCGUUUGUAUUCCGUUGUCAGAGGUGAAAUUCUUGGAUUUAUGGAAGACGAACUACUGCGAAAGCAUUUACCAAGGAUGUUUUCAUUAAUCAAGAACGAAAGUUGGGGGCUCGAAGACGAUCAGAUACCGUCCUAGUCUCAACCAUAAACGAUGCCGACCAGGGAUCGGCGGAUGUUG